AUUGAACGCUGGCGGCAGGCCUAACACAUGCACGUCGAACGAGUGGCGGACGGGUGAGUAAUGUCUGGGAAACUGCCUGAUGGAGGGGGAUAACUACUGGAAACGGUAGCUAAUACCGCAUACAAUCGGAUGUGCCCAGAUGGGCUUAGCUAGUAGGUGGGGUAAAGGCUCACUUAGGCGACGAUCCCUAGCUGGUCUGAGAGGAUGACCAGCCAAACUGGAACGGAGCCACGUUCCUGACUCCUACGCGAGGCAGCAGUGGGGAAUAUUGCACAAGUGGCGCAAGCCUGAUGCAGCCAUUCCGCGUGUAGGAAGAAGGCCUUCGGGUUGUAAAGUACUUUCAGCGGGGAGGCGUUACCCGCAGAAGAAGCACCGGCUAACUCCGUGCCAGCAGCCGCGGUAAUUC
This 406-nucleotide ribosomal RNA is filed under the name uncultured bacterium. Its description in RNAcentral is "partial 16S ribosomal RNA". It matches the Rfam family "Bacterial small subunit ribosomal RNA", at positions 30 to 526 of the family's 1533-position model. The record is from RNAcentral.